CCUGGUGGGAGGAGCACAGCCUAGGUGGGCAGGCAAGAGCAGUUUUUCAGCAAGUAGGUCAGACUGAGGGGAAUUGGUUAUAUCAGUGCUCAGCCUUCAAUCAUAUGAGGGAAGUAGGCUGCUUAGGAGGUAAUCAGGGUCCAUGCUUCAAACUAGGGGUGAAAGUUCACAUCGGGAUCCAGGAGACCAUUGCAGAAUUGACAUCAACUGAUAACUGUAGCUGUGCAUAUCUGUUUGGUAAAUCUCCAAUUCCCCUUCAGCAGCUGUGGAAAAACUUAUGUGGGCAUAUCUCACCACCAUGCAGCUCAGGAGCAAGCAGAAGUGGUCUGUGUUACAAGUUAACAUCCAGCAAUUCAUGAUAGACUUCUUCCUACCAUCACAUGGAGAAAACGUCACAUUUCAGAUUAGAGGCCUCGUUCUGAAGAAAAGAGAAAUUGGUCAGAAGUAGUGGUGAUUUCACAAUACCAUCACAUGAAGAACUGACUUCAGGCCACUAACUUUUCAGGGAUGCCUGUGUUUAAG
This is a long non-coding RNA of Chelonia mydas (Green sea turtle), 522 nucleotides long. RefSeq lists it as uncharacterized. The record is from RefSeq and is a predicted model, not a curated record. The transcript is spliced from 3 exons. NCBI's taxonomy places the organism in Eukaryota, Metazoa, Chordata, Testudines, Cheloniidae.